UACGAAGGGGGCUAGCGUUGUUCGGAUUUACUGGGCGUAAAGCGCACGUAGGCGGAUCGAUCAGUCAGGGGUGAAAUCCCAGAGCUCAACUCUGGAACUGCCUUUGAUACUGUCGAUCUGGAGUAUGGAAGAGGUGAGUGGAAUUCCGAGUGUAGAGGUGAAAUUCGUAGAUAUUCGGAGGAACACCAGUGGCGAAGGCGGCUCACUGGUCCAUUACUGACGCUGGAGGAGCGAAAGUGUGGGGAGCGAACAGG
This 254-nucleotide ribosomal RNA is filed under the name uncultured bacterium. RNAcentral's name for it is "partial 16S ribosomal RNA". It matches the Rfam family "Bacterial small subunit ribosomal RNA", at positions 524 to 776 of the family's 1533-position model. The record is from RNAcentral.